GCUGGCGGUAUGCUUUACACAUGCAAGUCGUACGAGAGUUUUUAACUCAAGUGGCGGACGGGUGAGUAACACGUAAGAAUUUGCCUUUAGGAGGGGGACAACAACUGGAAACGGUUGCUAAUACCCCAUAUGCUUUCGAGUGAAAUGGUUUUUCCGCCUAAAGAGAAGCUUGCGGCUGAUUAGCUUGUUGGUAGGGUAAUGGCUUACCAAGGCGACGAUCAGUAUCUGGUUUGAGAGGACGAUCAGACACACUGGAACUGAGACACGGUCCAGACUCCUACGGGAGGCAGCAGUGGGGAAUUUUCCGCAAUGGGCGAAAGCCUGACGGAGCAAUACCGCGUGAGGGAUGACUGCCUAUGGGUUGUAAACCUCUUUUUUCAGGGAGGAAUAAAUGACGUGUACCUGAAGAAUAAGCAUCGGCUAACUCCGUGCCAGCAGCCGCGGUAAGACGGAGGAUGCAAGUGUUAUCCGGAAUCACUGGGCGUAAAGCGUCUGUAGGUGGUUUAAUAAGUCAACUGUUAAAUCUUGAGGCUCAACCUCGAAACCGCAGUCGAAACUAUUAGACUAGAGUAUAGUAGGGGUAAAAGGAAUUUCCAGUGGAGCGGUGAAAUGCGUAGAGAUUGGAAAGA
Molecule: ribosomal RNA, 629 nt
Filed under: uncultured cyanobacterium
Lineage: Bacteria; Bacillati; Cyanobacteriota
Description: bacterial SSU rRNA
Rfam family: Bacterial small subunit ribosomal RNA
Source: RNAcentral